GAUGAAGAACGUAGCGAAAUGCGAUAAGUAAUGUGAAUUGCAGAAUUCAGUGAACCAUCGAAUCUUUGAACGCGCAUUGCGCCCGGCAGUAAUCUGCCGGGCAUGCCUGUCCGAGCGUCAUUUCUACCCUCGAGCGAGUCCAGCAUCUAGGUGCUGGGCCUCGCCCGGCGUUGGAGCACUACGGGAAGCCCUGUGCUGUCCCCCGUAGGCCCCGAAAUGAAGUGGCGGUCCUGCCGCGGCGCCCCCUGCGUAGCAUAACAGCUCGCUUCGGGACCCGGUGGAGGCCUGCCGUCAAACCUAUACUCUCUAAGUUUGACCUCGGAUCAGGUAGGGUUACCCGCUGAACUUAAGCAUAUCAAUAAGCGGAGGA
Molecule: unclassified non-coding RNA, 370 nt
Filed under: soil metagenome
Description: partial contains 5.8S ribosomal RNA, internal transcribed spacer 2, and large subunit ribosomal RNA
Rfam family: 5.8S ribosomal RNA (bases 1-120)
Source: RNAcentral